This 332-nucleotide ribosomal RNA is filed under the name uncultured eukaryote. RNAcentral describes it as "partial 18S ribosomal RNA". It matches the Rfam family "Eukaryotic small subunit ribosomal RNA", at positions 592 to 976 of the family's 1831-position model. The record is from RNAcentral.
CAAUAGCGUAUAUUAAAGUUGUUGCAGUUAAAAAGCUCGUAGUUGAAUUUCGGGUCCCCGCGCUCGGCGCUCCAUUGUGCCGUCGUGGUGUCCCUCCUCGCCGUAAGGCGUCCUUUACUGUGAAAAAAUUAGAGUGUUCAAAGCAGGCAAUCGCUUGAAUACAUUAGCAUGGAAUAAUAAGAUAGGAUCUUGUCUAUUUUGUUGGUUGCGGACAACGAUAAUGAUUAAUAGGGAUAGUUGGGGGUGUCCGUAUUGAGCUGUCAGAGGUGAAAUUCUUGGAUUUGCUCAAGACGAACUACUGCGAAAGCAUUCACCAAGGAUGUUUUCAUUAA